AGGGAUAUAACUCAGCGGUAAGAGUGUCACCCUUGACGGUGGUGGAAGUCCAUCAGUUCGAGCCCUGAUUAUCCCUA
This 77-nucleotide transfer RNA is filed under the name Hordeum vulgare. Its description in RNAcentral is "tRNA-OTHER". It matches the Rfam family "tRNA". From Rfam's summary of the family: Transfer RNA (tRNA) molecules are approximately 80 nucleotides in length. Their secondary structure includes four short double-helical elements and three loops (D, anti-codon, and T loops). Lineage: Eukaryota; Viridiplantae; Streptophyta; Magnoliopsida; Poales; Poaceae. The record is from RNAcentral.